AUUUAGCUGAUGAGUCCCAAAUAGUACGAAAUACAAGUCCUGGAU
This 45-nucleotide non-coding RNA is filed under the name Schistosoma mattheei. Lineage: Eukaryota; Metazoa; Platyhelminthes; Trematoda; Strigeidida; Schistosomatidae. The record is from RNAcentral.